GACGAACGCUGGCGGCGUGCUUAACACAUGCAAGUCGAACGGAAAGGCCCUGCUUUUGUGUGGUGCUCGAGUGGCGAACGGGUGAGUAACACGUGAGUAACCUGCCCUUGACUUUGGGAUAACUUCAGGAAACUGGGGCUAAUACCGGCUAGGAGCUCCUGCUGCAUGGUGGGGGUUGGAAAGUUUCGGCGGUUGGGGAUGGACUCGGGGCUUAUCAGCUUGUUGGUGGGGUAGUGGCUUACCCAGGCUUUGACGGGUAGCCGGCCUGAGAGGGUGACCGGCCACAUUGGGACUGCGGUACGGCCCAGAGUCGUACGGGGGGCAGCAGUGGAGAAUAUUGCACAAUGGGCGGAAGCCUGAUGCAGCAACGCCGCGUGCGGGAUGACGGCCUUCGGGUGGUAAACCGCUUUCGCCUGUGACGAAGCGUGAGUGACGGUAAUGGGUAAAGAAGCACCGGCUAACUACGUG
RNAcentral lists this ribosomal RNA (468 nucleotides) under uncultured bacterium. RNAcentral describes it as "partial 16S ribosomal RNA". It matches the Rfam family "Bacterial small subunit ribosomal RNA", at positions 28 to 507 of the family's 1533-position model. The record is from RNAcentral.